AUGAACGCUGGCGGCGUGCCUAACACAUGCAAGUCGAACGAAGCUUGACGGAUGAUUUCUUCGGAAUGAAACCAGAUAUGACUUAGUGGCGGACGGGUGAGUAACACGUGAGCAACCUGCCCUUCAGAGGGGGAUAGUGUCUGGAAACGGACAGUAAUACCGCAUAAUGUACAUUGAUGGCAUCUUCGAUGUACCAAAGCUUUUGCGCUGAAGGAUGGGCUCGCGUCUGAUUAGAUAGUUGGUGGGGUAAUGGCCUACCAAGUCGACGAUCAGUAGCCGGACUGAGAGGUUGAACGGCCACAUUGGGACUGAGACACGGCCCAGACUCCUACGGGAGGCAGCAGUGGGGAAUAUUGCACAAUGGGCGCAAGCCUGAUGCAGCAACGCCGCGUGGAGGAAGACGGUUUUCGGAUUGUAAACUCCUGUUCUUAGUGAAGAAUAAUGACGGUAGCUAAGGAGCAAGCCACGGCUAACUACGUG
Molecule: ribosomal RNA, 480 nt
Filed under: uncultured bacterium
Lineage: Bacteria
Description: bacterial SSU rRNA
Rfam family: Bacterial small subunit ribosomal RNA
Source: RNAcentral